Molecule: non-coding RNA, 370 nt
Filed under: Pongo abelii (Sumatran orangutan)
Lineage: Eukaryota; Metazoa; Chordata; Mammalia; Primates; Hominidae
Source: RNAcentral
CUUCAGCCCAAACCAUAAGGUCCAUCUCACCUUCACUGCAACAAACAAGGGUUGUUAAAGCUGGACACCGAUUUGCUCGGCUUCACCCUCUGAUGUGUUCCACACCACUUCAUGCCACUUUUCAAAAAGAUGAUAAAACGUCAGGGUGAGUAGAACAGAACUGGGUGCAAAUAAAUCUCUCUGAAGCUAACUUGCCUCUCUCCACUCCUACUUCCCUCUGCACGUGCCUUUGCUUUAUUCCUCUGCAUGAGAGAAGCAGUCAAAUCUUUCCCAUUUUCAUACCUGGAUUGCUGCUCAACAGCCUCAACAACUGAGACCUGAAUGUAUCCCCAUUUUAAAGAACCUAACAGAACAUUAAAAUUGUUUCCCA